Molecule: ribosomal RNA, 438 nt
Filed under: uncultured bacterium
Lineage: Bacteria
Description: partial 16S ribosomal RNA
Rfam family: Bacterial small subunit ribosomal RNA
Source: RNAcentral
CUACGGGGUGCACCAGUGAGGAAUUUUGCGCAAUGGGCGAAAGCCUGACGCAGCGACGCCGCGUGAAUGAUGAAGUCCUUCGGGAUGUAAAGUUCUGUCAGUAGGAAAAAUAAUGAUGGUACCUACAGAGGAAGCACCGGCUAACUAUGUGCCAGCAGCCGCGGUAAUACAUAGGGUGCAAGCGUUGUCCGGAUUUAUUGGGCGUAAAGAGUUCGUAGGUGGUUUUUUAAGUCAAAUUUUAAAGUUCGGGGCUCAACUCCGAAUUGGAUUUGAAACUGGAUUACUUGAGGUCGGGAGAGGAAGGCGGAACUCACAGUGUAGCGGUGAAAUGCGUAGAUAUUGUGAGGAACACCAGUGGCGAAGGCGGCCUUCUGGACCGAACCUGACACUAAGGAACGAAAGCGUGGGUAGCAAACAGGAUUAGAUACCCCAGUAGUC